GAAUAUUGCGCAAUGGCCGAAAGGCUGACGCAGCGACGCCGCGUGGAGGAUGAAAUCCGUUCGGAUGUAAACUCCUUUUGCCGGGGAAGAACAGCCGCUUCUGGCGGCACUGACGGUACCUGGCGAAUACGGAACGGCCAACUACGUUCCAGCAGCCGCGGUAAUACUUAGGAUCCGAGCGUUGUCCGGAUUUACUGGGUGUAAAGGGCGUGUAGGUGGGCCUUUAAGUCGAUGGUGAAAUCCUGCAGCUUAACUGCAGAACUGCUUUCGAUACUGGAGGUCUUGAGUGCGGCAGAGGGAGACGGAAUUCAUGGUGUAGCGGUGAAAUGUGUAGAUAUCAUGAAGAACACCGGUUGCGAAGGCGGUCUCCUGGUCCGUUACUGACACUGAGGCGCGAAAGCGUGGGUAGCAAACAGG
RNAcentral lists this ribosomal RNA (417 nucleotides) under uncultured bacterium. Its description in RNAcentral is "bacterial SSU rRNA". It matches the Rfam family "Bacterial small subunit ribosomal RNA", at positions 359 to 776 of the family's 1533-position model. The record is from RNAcentral.